CUUGGUAAUACGGAUGGGCUCCUUAUUUCCCCACUCUUUGGAGGUCAUCUUCCUCUCCACUUCUGGAUAAC
This is an unclassified non-coding RNA of Carlito syrichta (Philippine tarsier), 71 nucleotides long. NCBI's taxonomy places the organism in Eukaryota, Metazoa, Chordata, Mammalia, Primates, Tarsiidae. The record is from Ensembl.